RNAcentral lists this long non-coding RNA (686 nucleotides) under Rattus norvegicus (Norway rat). RNAcentral describes it as "long non-coding RNA NONRATT020985". Lineage: Eukaryota; Metazoa; Chordata; Mammalia; Rodentia; Muridae. The record is from RNAcentral.
GAGAUCUCAGCCUCUGCGGUGCGCAGACAACUGUGGGGCAACCGAAUGUCUGUGACGCCCACGCCGUGAUGACGCAUGUUUGUGAGCCCACUGUGAUGAUGCAUGUCUGUGACUCCACCGUGAUGGCACAAGUCCGUGAUCCCAGCGCUUGGGAGGCAACAAAGAACUGUGGCAGCAGUCUUCUCGACCAGUGUGAUUAGCCGACGAGUACCUGCUGCACAUUUCCAAGUCCAAGCGAGCAUCCAAGCCCCUCUCUCCGCCUCCUGGUCCUCCAGCUCACUGGCUUACUUCCCCAAAGCUACACAUCGUUUUUAUAACCCUCCCAUUCUUGCUGUGUUUGUUCUCUAGCUCUAUGCUUCACUGGGUUUUCUCUGUUCUCCACCUCCUGCUCUUCCCUGUCACUGACUGCCCUGGCACGUCCAGAAUGCUGGCAUUCUGUCUAAGCUCCACCCCCACAGCUACCUAGGAACAGCCAGGUAUGCUCCACCCCACAGUUGCCUGGCAACAGCCAGCUGUGCCUGACACUAUUAAAGGGGCUGCUUGACCCCUCCUUUUCCUCUUCCUCCCUUCCUACCCCCUCUCUUUGUUCUCUGUUCUUGCCCCCUUCCCCCUCCCCACCACAUGCCCAUGGACAGCUGCCUUUCCUCUCUUCCUCUACUCUUCUUUCAUUAAACCUCUCCACGUGG